RNAcentral lists this transfer-messenger RNA (369 nucleotides) under Methylovirgula sp. 4M-Z18. RNAcentral's name for it is "Alphaproteobacteria transfer-messenger RNA". It matches the Rfam family "Alphaproteobacteria transfer-messenger RNA". From Rfam's summary of the family: Bacterial tmRNA, also known as 10Sa RNA or SsrA, is named for its dual tRNA and mRNA-like properties. Its role is to liberate the mRNA from a stalled ribosome. To accomplish this part of the tmRNA is used as a reading frame that ends in a translation stop signal. The record is from Rfam by way of RNAcentral. Lineage: Bacteria; Pseudomonadati; Pseudomonadota; Alphaproteobacteria; Hyphomicrobiales; Beijerinckiaceae.
AACCUUUUAAUCGCCAUAACCAUCGCCUAUAUUCGCUUUGCCGUGCGGGCUUGCCCGCCGGACUAUGGCGAUAAAUGGUCAUCGGAAUAAGCCUUUCGGACCCGGGGGCGGUACCCGGCGCCUCCACCCAAGCGCGUUGCCAAGAAAAGCGCGCUUCGGCGGGGGCGAAAUAGGAUCGACGGGGGGUGUAAAGGGUGUGCUUUUGCUCGGCAUGAUACCGCCGUUAUCGGGUCAAACUUGUAGUUGCAAACGACAACUAUGCUCCGGUUGCUGUCGCCGCUUAAUGCGGUGCCGGUACCGAAAUCAAAGUCCUAAGGGGUAGCACUCUUAGGCGGGGCCCGGAGGCGCCUGGCAACAGAAGCCUCCACU